Molecule: long non-coding RNA, 690 nt
Organism: Monomorium pharaonis (pharaoh ant)
Lineage: Eukaryota; Metazoa; Arthropoda; Insecta; Hymenoptera; Formicidae
Exons: 2
Source: RefSeq, a predicted model, not a curated record
GGCUGUAAUCUCUUAUGUAUUUUUCGUGACCAGCGUUUGUUGCGCCACCGCUGUAAGCGAACCCGCCGAACCGAACUAAAAUGCAAUAUGGCCGUCUAAAAUCAACAUGGCCGUAGUAAUGAGUUCCGUUCAACAAGCAAAGUAAAGUGAAGCAAAGCUUACGAGCGAAGAAGGAGGUUAUUUCUUACGAACGGAAUAAUUAAAACUGAUGACACCAGUAACUGUUCCAAUGUGUACACCAGCCUUCGACACCAUAUAGAAUAAAGAUGCUGUCAGAGGAGUUAGAUGAGGGAGCUACAACCAAGAAAAAGCAAUCUGUGAUCACAUUACUUAGCUUCGACAAACGAUGACCUAAGUUCAACUGAUUGUAGGCUCUUACGUCCACGUGGAAUCAGCUGCUCCUUUGCAACUUGCAACAGGCUAAGGCUGCGUUCCGAUAUUAAUUGUCAGUACUGAAAAUCUACAGUAUAUGUGACGUAAACUAUAGAUUUUCAGUACUGGCAGUGAAUAUCGAAACGCAGCCUAAGUUACGAAGAAGCAGCUGAUUCCACAUGAACGUAAGAAAGAGGCUACAAUCAGUUGAACUUUGGUCAUCGUUUGUCGAAGCUGAAGGAGAAACAACGUGAUUUAGAGAAUAAGGUGCUCUGUCACAUAGAAUGUAAUUCUAUUAUAAAACAUGUAAUGGUUCCA